Lolium rigidum is the source of this 3714-nucleotide RNA transcript. RefSeq lists it as uncharacterized. NCBI's taxonomy places the organism in Eukaryota, Viridiplantae, Streptophyta, Magnoliopsida, Poales, Poaceae. The record is from RefSeq and is a predicted model, not a curated record. The transcript is spliced from 5 exons.
UCAAUCGCCGCUACAGGGUAGUAGUGCAGCUGGGUGUAGCAGGGCUAGGGCGAGAUACCACCGCGCCGCUGCACGCCUGCAUCUGCCUGCGCCGCCUCCUCCCGGCGACUUGCCGUAGCGCCGUAGGUUCCUUAUCUCGUCGGAGGGAUUCGAUUGCCAUUCUCACCACUUGUGGUGGCCGCUGGGGUUUGCAGAUCUAGGCCGGCCGCGACAUUGCGGGUGGGGUUAGCGGAGAUGGAGUCUUCACCCCUCACCUGAACUCACCGCCUCCUUCUGCCCGUCCCGCGACAGCAAGGUCUAGCCAGUCGCUUGCCCUGGUGAACUCGACUCAUCACCGGCCUCUCUAAUCCAUUCCCUCGCCGCGUGCGCUCCACCAGGGUCCCUCGAUAAAGUGGGGAAUUGACUUCAGUGCGAAGGUUUCUGGAAGUACUUGUUUAAAAUGGCUCAAAAAGAGGAUGGCAUCUAUGAUUUGCCAACCGAGCCUCCUUUGAUGACUAUCAACUUGAAGCUGAGCCACGACAAUGACUUUGCAAAAUUACACCGCUCUUAUGCAAGCCAGGUGGAGCGCCUACGGAGAAGUCUCAAGAAGAAAUUUAAGACCCUCGUGAAGGGCAAGGGAAGUAAGCAGAAGGAGUUUCAUCUCACUCCAGAUGGGAUCUGUGUUUUCACGGUUGCAUUCACUGAUGGUAAGAGGACUGUCACCGCUAUCAUUGAAGGAAGACAUAUGUGGGUGAGAGGGUUCCAAACUACAGAUGGAACCAUUUAUGAGUUCCUUAAAAAUAAGGAGGAAGAGAGUGAUGAGAGCGAUAAGAAAAAGAAGAAGAAGCAGCAGGACGACGAGAGACAUGAACCAAGGAAGUAUAUCAAAGGGUCCAUCUUACUUUCCCAUGGGGGAGGAUACCCUAGACUACUUCCUGGAGGUCCUGAUGAACUAGAAAACUUUGAAGUGGGAUAUCCUGCCCUGAAAGAUAUGCUUAACGAGCUAUCCGAGUUCGAUCCAACAAGGUCUUCUGUCAAGUCUCUGCGUGCAAUGGCAGCACUGAUAAUACACACUGCCGAGAGCAUAAAGAAUAACUUCAUCCACUUGAUUGUUUUGAAAUCACUCGAUCCACUGCUGGGUGCGCGGAUGCAGCGUUUGGCAGAACUGGGGAAGGCCUACAUCAACAACUGGGGAAAGAUAUCAAGACUAAUCCUGAGAUAUCUUCAUAUUUCAACCAAAGUUUGGGAUGUAAAUGAGCAGAAAAAGGUGAAAAAUGAAGAGUUCUAUAAAGUCCCAUGUUGGACAAAAGAUCCAAAGGAUGUGCUCAAUCAUAUCAUAUUCAUAAAAGGUGAUGAAUUCCCAGAUACGGUUCUGCACGUAGAAGAUGGCAAGACACGCAACCUGCCAGAUGUACUUCAAGCUUCUCUCGGUGUGGUUGUUGUGGGGGGAGUGAACCUCGCCCUAGAGUAUACAACAGAUAUUCCUUGUGUCGCUCAAGUGUUACUGCGAGCAACUUCAUUGUCGUCAAAUGUCCAGCUCGUUGAAGGAGAGUUUCCCAUCUACACAAGUGAUCACUUGGACUUGUGUACUCUGCAUCUGAAUUUGAGGAAAAAAGAAGGACAUCACAAGGAAGUGGUUAAGUUAACCCUAACAGUGAGUGCUUUGCUCGAGGCGACUGCACAUGUGAGCCAAGUUGAUGAUGAAGCUAUCUACUGUCAAAGGACUGAAACAUGUCAAACGAACAGUGAGAUGAGCAGGAACCAACUGGAGGUAUAUUCAAGAAACAUAGAAUUAUUCGAGAAACUAGCAGAUAAAAGAGCUACACAAUCAGGAGAAGAGUACCCAAUGAUUGAUCCAAUGCUUUUGCUGUCUAAUAAGAAAGAGACACCACUAGUGUUAAAAGAGAUUGGUGUUGAACUGGUGUGCUGAUACUACCAUGAAAUGUACUAAGUUCCAGGCCAUCGGUAAUUCUUGGAGCCCUUGCUUUAUUAGGCAAAUGUAAGCUGGAAGAAUUAUGGAGUAUUCUUGAAAGAUGAAGAGUGCCGAAGUGGCCCACAUGAUUGAAAGAGACACUGGUCAAAUCCGCGCUUCAGGCUACACCUACCUCCCCCAUUAGUUGCUUCAAGUUUAAUAAAAGACAGUGCAAGAGAUUAAGCUCCAUUUCUUCCAACUUCUGGUGGAGUGCAGCAGACGGAUCUAGGAAGGUGCACUGAUCGCUUGGUACAAAAUGUGUUGCCCAAAAAGGGAAGGAGGGAUGGGAUUUCGGAACUUUGAGGUUUUCAAUCAAGCUCUUCUUGCCAAGCAGGCCUGGAGAAUUCUCACGGUUCCAGACUCUCUUUGUCGUCGAGUUCUUAAGGCAAGAUACUUCCCGAGCUUUAGCUUCCUUUCUGCCACAUGCCCUUCACGUGGUUGAUUCACAUGGAGAAGCAUACUGUAUGGUCGGGAUCUGCUUAACCGGGGUCUCAUUUGGAGGCUCGGCGAUGGUACACAAGUGGACAUAUGGGGAAGCAAUUGGAUUCCUCGAGCUGGUGCGCAACGACCACUGGGUCGGAAGUGCGAGACCGACAUCAUAAAGGUGGCUGAGCUUUUCAAUCAGCAGGGUACAGGAUGGAACGGAGAUAAACUACAGCAGCUGUUCCAUGAUUUUGAUGUCAAUGAUAUCUAGAAGAUCCCGAUCGGUGGAGUUGGAACACAGGAUUAUUAUGCUUGGAAUUUUACUAAAAAUGGAGUUUUCACGGUAAGAUCAGCUUAUCACCUCUGUAUGGAGUUAAUAAAGAUGGAUGGAGGUCUGUUGGAAACAUUGACAUCGAUGGAGGCUCACAAAGGAUGCUCUCUGGGGUGCUCUCCUGUUCCUAGUAAGGUGAAGAUUGAUGUGUGGCGGUUGCUGAAAAACGUCUUGCUGUGGGAGCUGAGCUUCAACAUAGGAAAAUAAAUCAUGGAGUCGUUUGCGUGUUGCGUGUGGACGGGAAGAAACUGCUAUUCACAGAUUUUGGCUUUGCCCGCACCCUCGGCACAUUUGGGAGGUAAUUCGUGGUCUUGGCACUGGCCUGACUAUAGAGCGCCCUGCGAAUAUUCGUUCCCCUCGGGAGUUGCUUCAAUGGAUGCUGGAAUGGCUUGGAAGGGUGCACGACUCGGAGCUAGACACCACGAUGAUGGCUCUGUACCAUAUGUGGUUAUCCAGGAAUGAAGCCAGGGACAAGCAGAUAGAAAACCCAGAUGCGCUGGCUAAGCGUAUUGUUCACCUCACAGAAGAAUGGAGAAUUAUUCGGCCCCAAAACCACCUAAGGCUGCUUUAAGUAGAGAGCACUGCCUCCUUCCAAGGGUGGGAUGGAUGAAAGUCAAUGCUGAUGGUGCGGUAGCGAAAUCUUCGGAGAAAGGAGGAGGAGGUAUGGUCGUGCGUGACCACCAUGGAAGCUUCCUUGUGGCGGCUUGCCACUUUUUCUCUCCACUUUUGGAUCCGGAGGAUGCAGAACUCUAUGCAUGCCAUGCUGCUCUAGGCCUGGUGAAAAGCUGAGAUUGCCGAGAGUGAUUCUGGAGAUGGAUAGUUUGGGUGUUGUCAAAGCUGUUGUUAGCACCUUGGCACUGAAGCACUCGAUUCAGUCAUCAAUCCGGCUACAGCCAUGGAUUUAGAGGUGAGAGGAAGGAAUCAGAGGAACAGGAGAAGAAAGACGAAGCCAAGUCUAGUUCAGGCCGAAGCCAUCCGUUCUGUCCAAGCCCCCCCCCCCCCCCCACCC